AGAACGGUUGUUACGAGGUUCAGCGUUUCAAGUCGCCUCGAGCCCGGCAGUCCUUUGAAGACUAGCUAGGUUAGUUAGUUUCAACAGGCAGGCAUAUCGGAGAUGUAAAAGCCAAUGGAAAUCCUGGGCCCAGGAAGCAGGAAUCCGGAACCAAGUGGAGUGGGAUCAUCGGUGGAAAUUUUGAUGUUUUUUUAGUAUUCCUUAGAGGAAUACU
Molecule: long non-coding RNA, 214 nt
Organism: Carassius auratus (goldfish)
Lineage: Eukaryota; Metazoa; Chordata; Actinopteri; Cypriniformes; Cyprinidae
Exons: 2
Source: RefSeq, a predicted model, not a curated record